This 375-nucleotide ribosomal RNA is filed under the name uncultured bacterium. RNAcentral's name for it is "bacterial SSU rRNA". It matches the Rfam family "Bacterial small subunit ribosomal RNA", at positions 28 to 404 of the family's 1533-position model. The record is from RNAcentral.
GACGAACGCUGGCGGCGUGCUUAACACAUGCAAGUCGAGCGGUAAGGCCCUUUCGGGGGUACACGAGCGGCGAACGGGUGAGUAACACGUGGGUGACCUGCCCUCAGCUCUGGGAUAAGCCUGGGAAACUGGGUCUAAUACUGGAUAUGACUCCACGGUGCAUGUCGUGAGGUGGAAAGCCUUGUGCGGCUGAGGAUGGGCCCGCGGCCUAUCAGCUUGUUGGUGGGGNGAUGGCCUACCAAGGCGACGACGGGUAGCCGGCCUGAGAGGGCGACCGGCCACACUGGGACUGAGACACGGCCCAGACUCCUACGGGAGGCAGCAGUGGGGAAUCUUGCGCAAUGGGCGAAAGCCUGACGCAGCGACGCCGCGUGA